This 280-nucleotide ribosomal RNA is filed under the name Bacillus sp. SRI22. RNAcentral describes it as "partial 16S ribosomal RNA". It matches the Rfam family "Bacterial small subunit ribosomal RNA", at positions 434 to 705 of the family's 1533-position model. Lineage: Bacteria; Bacillati; Bacillota; Bacilli; Caryophanales; Bacillaceae. The record is from RNAcentral.
UGUUGUUAGGGAAGAACAAGUGCUAGUUGAAUAAGCUGGCACCUUGACGGUACCUAACCAGAAAGCCACGGCUAACUACGUGCCAGCAGCCGCGGUAAUACGUAGGUGGCAAGCGUUAUCCGGAAUUAUUGGGCGUAAAGCGCGCGCAGGUGGUUUCUUAAGUCUGAUGUGAAAGCCCACGGCUCAACCGUGGAGGGUCAUUGGAAACUGGGAGACUUGAGUGCAGAAGAGGAAAGUGGAAUUCCAUGUGUAGCGGUGAAAUGCGUAGAGAUAUGGAGGA